Nomascus leucogenys (northern white-cheeked gibbon) is the source of this 104-nucleotide small nuclear RNA. NCBI's taxonomy places the organism in Eukaryota, Metazoa, Chordata, Mammalia, Primates, Hylobatidae. The record is from Ensembl.
GUGCUCACUUUGGCAGCACAUACACUAAAAUCGGAAUGAUACAGAGAUCAGCAUGGCCCCUGUGGAAGGAUGACACACAAAUUCGUGAAGUACUCCAUAUGUUU